RNAcentral lists this long non-coding RNA (224 nucleotides) under Amborella trichopoda. RNAcentral's name for it is "long non-coding RNA (ATRI_LNC001281)". Lineage: Eukaryota; Viridiplantae; Streptophyta; Magnoliopsida; Amborellales; Amborellaceae. The record is from RNAcentral.
UCCAAACGUCAAUCACACCGUUCAUAAUGAAGAACCAUGUGUUGCGAACCUGCUGUCAAAAUUUUAGCUCAAUUGGAUUGCGAAUGGCUAUACGAUGGAGCUCUUGAUGAUGACUGCACAGUGCCUUAAAACCUAGAAUGUUCUCCUCUCCUCUCCGUUUCUGCGGACAACACACCCUCUUCUCUUUUUUUUAAUCAUGCUUCAAGAGACCGAAUGAGGAAAAC